This is a non-coding RNA of Geobacillus thermocatenulatus GS-1, 32 nucleotides long. NCBI's taxonomy places the organism in Bacteria, Bacillati, Bacillota, Bacilli, Caryophanales, Anoxybacillaceae. The record is from Rfam.
CUCUGUUUCGAUCAGAUACAGGGCGGAAGGAG